GAUGAACGCUGGCGGCGUGCCUAAUACAUGCAAGUCGAGCGAACAGACGAGGAGCUUGCUCCUCUGACGUUAGCGGCGGACGGGUGAGUAACACGUGGAUAACCUACCUAUAAGACUGGGAUAACUUCGGGAAACCGGAGCUAAUACCGGAUAAUAUAUUGAACCGCAUGGUUCAAUAGUGAAAGACGGUUUUGCUGUCACUUAUAGAUGGAUCCGCGCCGCAUUAGCUAGUUGGUAAGGUAACGGCUUACCAAGGCAACGAUGCGUAGCCGACCUGAGAGGGUGAUCGGCCACACUGGAACUGAGACACGGUCCAGACUCCUACGGGAGGCAGCAGUAGGGAAUCUUCCGCAAUGGGCGAAAGCCUGACGGAGCAACGCCGCGUGAGGGAUGAAGGUCUUCGGAUCGGAAAAAUCUGUUAUUAGGGAAGAACAAAUGUGUAAGUAACUAUGCACGUCUUGACGGUACCUAAUCAGAAAGCCACGGCUAACUACGUGC
RNAcentral lists this ribosomal RNA (498 nucleotides) under uncultured bacterium. RNAcentral describes it as "partial 16S ribosomal RNA". It matches the Rfam family "Bacterial small subunit ribosomal RNA", at positions 28 to 508 of the family's 1533-position model. The record is from RNAcentral.